RNAcentral lists this ribosomal RNA (731 nucleotides) under uncultured Janthinobacterium sp. RNAcentral's name for it is "bacterial SSU rRNA". It matches the Rfam family "Bacterial small subunit ribosomal RNA", at positions 70 to 796 of the family's 1533-position model. Lineage: Bacteria; Pseudomonadati; Pseudomonadota; Betaproteobacteria; Burkholderiales; Oxalobacteraceae. The record is from RNAcentral.
CAGCACGGAGCUUGCUCUGGUGGCGAGUGGCGAACGGGUGAGUAAUAUAUCGGAACGUACCCUGGAGUGGGGGAUAACGUAGCGAAAGUUACGCUAAUACCGCAUACGAUCUAAGGAUGAAAGUGGGGGAUCGCAAGACCUCAUGCUCGUGGAGCGGCCGAUAUCUGAUUAGCUAGUUGGUAGGGUAAAAGCCUACCAAGGCAUCGAUCAGUAGCUGGUCUGAGAGGACGACCAGCCACACUGGAACUGAGACACGGUCCAGACUCCUACGGGAGGCAGCAGUGGGGAAUUUUGGACAAUGGGCGAAAGCCUGAUCCAGCAAUGCCGCGUGAGUGAAGAAGGCCUUCGGGUUGUAAAGCUCUUUUGUCAGGGAAGAAACGGUGAGGGCUAAUAUCCCUUGCUAAUGACGGUACCUGAAGAAUAAGCACCGGCUAACUACGUGCCAGCAGCCGCGGUAAUACGUAGGGUGCAAGCGUUAAUCGGAAUUACUGGGCGUAAAGCGUGCGCAGGCGGUUUUGUAAGUCUGAUGUGAAAUCCCCGGGCUCAACCUGGGAAUUGCAUUGGAGACUGCAAGGCUAGAAUCUGGCAGAGGGGGGUAGAAUUCCACGUGUAGCAGUGAAAUGCGUAGAUAUGUGGAGGAACACCGAAGGCGAAGGCAGCCCCCUGGGUCAAGAUUGACGCUCAUGCACGAAAGCGUGGGGAGCAAACAGGAUUAGAUACCCUGGUAGUCC